RNAcentral lists this ribosomal RNA (218 nucleotides) under uncultured bacterium. RNAcentral describes it as "partial 16S ribosomal RNA". It matches the Rfam family "Bacterial small subunit ribosomal RNA", at positions 524 to 741 of the family's 1533-position model. The record is from RNAcentral.
UACGUAGGGGGCAAGCGUUGUCCGGAAUCAUUGGGCGUAAAGAGCGUGUAGGCGGCUUGGUAAGUCCGCUGUGAAAGUCCAGGGCUCAACCCUGGAAAGCCGGUGGAAACUGUCAAGCUUGAGUCCGGAAGAGGCGAGUGGAAUUCCUGGUGUAGCGGUGAAAUGCGCAGAUAUCAGGAAGAACACCUAUGGCGAAGGCAGCUCUCUGGGACGGUACU